Molecule: non-coding RNA, 502 nt
Organism: Microcebus murinus (gray mouse lemur)
Lineage: Eukaryota; Metazoa; Chordata; Mammalia; Primates; Cheirogaleidae
Source: RefSeq, a predicted model, not a curated record
UUAGUAUUCGAAAAAGUAAGAGGAUAUAUUUUUGCUUUUCCCAGCAUGGAAACAUUUUUAUUAGCUGACAAUAGUGUGGAAUCUGGAACAUGAUGCCCAAAAGUUCUUCGCCUUUACCCUGAGUCGCCUGUAUCAGUUCAUACCGAGUCUUCCUUUGAGGUGCAUCAGGAUCCCACCUCUCAGCUCAUAGGCAGACGCUCAGCAGUUUUUCCCAUCUGUGGACCUCAAGAUGGAGAACGCUCCUGGUUCUUUGGAUCCUGGGGUUAGCUGGUGGUGGAAGGAGCACUGAUGAACCAGAAAUUCUUUAGUAAUGCCAGUGAAGAGAUUAAAACUUUGCAGAAGAUGACCAAGAACAGGGAGAACAAGAUUGGUGAAAGCUGGAAAUGCUUCUGGUGGUAGGCAAAUAUGCAAAGGAGACAUGUCUCAGCAGAAACGUGAUAUGGGAGACCAGUGAGGAGGCUGCAGAAAUAGUUUAAUGACUGAGAACCUGGGACUUAAUGGU